RNAcentral lists this ribosomal RNA (450 nucleotides) under uncultured bacterium. Its description in RNAcentral is "partial 16S ribosomal RNA". It matches the Rfam family "Bacterial small subunit ribosomal RNA", at positions 354 to 796 of the family's 1533-position model. The record is from RNAcentral.
GUGGGGAAUCUUCCGCAAUGGACGAAAGUCUGACGGAGCAACGCCGCGUGAGUGAAGAAGGUUUUCGGAUCGUAAAGCUCUUUCGUUAGGGACGAACGUGCUCUUUGUGAAUAAUGAGGAGUAAUGACGGUACCUAAAUAAGAAGCCACGGCUAACUACGUGCCAGCAGCCGCGGUAAUACGUAGGUGGCAAGCGUUGUCCGGAAUUAUUGGGCGUAAAGCGCGCGCAGGCGGGAUAUCAAGUCUGUCUUAAAAGUGCGAGGCUCAACCUCGUGAGGGGACAGAAACUGGUAUUCUUGAGUGUCGGAGAGGAAAGUGGAAUUCCAAGUGUAGCGGUGAAAUGCGUAGAGAUUUGGAAGAACACCAGUGGCGAAGGCGACUUUCUGGACGAUGUCUGACGCUGAGGCGUGAAAGCUAGGGGAGCGAACGGGAUUAGAAACCCCGGUAGUCC